GUUCAGUGGAGAGACUUAAAGCAAGAAAGGAGUAGGGGGUGAGAGGAGAGGGUGGGACAGUUUAAAAGACGGUGUUCAGGGAAUAUCUCACUGAUAUAUCUCAGGUGAUAGUUGAAUGAAGACUUGAAGGAGCUGAGAUAUUGAGACAUGCGGAUAUCUGGAGGAGGAGCUGCUUGACUGGUUUGAUCUCCUUGCUGAAUAAAGGUGUAAAUCUGAUUCAAAGUGAAGGAUGCCACUUAUGCCAGGGGAAGGCAGUUACCAAGACAACAGCAGCGCUCCUCCUUCUUUUGGAUCUGUUUCCAAGCUGAGAACAAUAAAUAUAAAAGAUCAGAAAGAGGGAAAAGCAACGAGUCAUUCAAGGCAUUCGAAUUAUUCACCCUGGAGAAGAGAAUGCUAGGAGGUGCCAAUUAUAUUGUUUUGGUCUAUUAAAGGUUACUACGAUGCUGGAAAAGGACUCAUUCUUUUGAGGUAAUCCGGAGCCAAAUGAACUGAAACUUUUUUCAGAAGGAGGAGAUGUGAUGGUAUGAGAGCAAAAGAAGACCGAAAGUAAAAUUCCUUUUGUUUGAUUUGAUGGUGUGGGUGAGCAGCCUUGGGAACAGUGAACACACCUCCUCCUCUUGUUUGUGUGAGUGACUUUCCCGACUGAGACACAGUAACACCCAGAGGAAAUCAUCUAACUGUUAUUGGUAAUUAAAUGGAGAAUGUCAAGUCUCCCAGAGGACCAUUGCUCAUUGGAGAAGUGGAGAGCCAUUUCUGUUUGCAGUUACUUACUGGUGGAAAAUAAAAUGAGCCCUGUUUUGAUGAAGUGUCCUGGUGCUAGUGAAACAUUCCAUGAAGGGCAUUGUCUCCAAGACUUACUGAAUCCAUUCUACUGAAC
Long non-coding RNA from Bos taurus (domestic cattle), 877 nucleotides. The record is from Ensembl. NCBI's taxonomy places the organism in Eukaryota, Metazoa, Chordata, Mammalia, Artiodactyla, Bovidae.